GGGUUGUGAGGUUAAGCGACUAAGCGUACACGGUGGAUGCCCUGGCAGUCAGAGGCGAUGAAGGACGUGCUAAUCUGCGAUAAGCGCCGGUAAGGUGAUAUGAACCGUUAUAACCGGCGAUUUCCGAAUGGGGAAACCCAGUGUGACUCGUCACACUAUCAUUAACUGAAUCCAUAGGUUAAUGAGGCGAACCGGGGGAACUGAAACAUCUAAGUACCCCGAGGAAAAGAAAUCAACCGAGAUUCCCCCAGUAGCGGCGAGCGAACGGGGAGGAGCCCAGAGCCUGAAUCAGCAUGUGUGUUAGUGGAAGCGUCUGGAAAGGCGCGCGAUACAGGGUGACAGCCCCGUACACAAAAGCGCAUGUGCUGUGAGCUCGAUGAGUAGGGCGGGACACGUGGUAUCCUGUCUGAAUAUGGGGGGACCAUCCUCCAAGGCUAAAUACUCCUGACUGACCGAUAGUGAACCAGUACCGUGAGGGAAAGGCGAAAAGAACCCCGGCGAGGGGAGUGAAAAAGAACCUGAAACCGUGUACGUACAAGCAGUGGGAGCACCCUUUUGGGUGUGACUGCGUACCUUUUGUAUAAUGGGUCAGCGACUUAUAUUCUGUAGCAAGGUUAACCGAAUAGGGGAGCCG
This 634-nucleotide ribosomal RNA is filed under the name Salmonella enterica subsp. enterica. RNAcentral's name for it is "bacterial LSU rRNA". It matches the Rfam family "Bacterial large subunit ribosomal RNA", at positions 1 to 668 of the family's 2925-position model. The record is from RNAcentral. Lineage: Bacteria; Pseudomonadati; Pseudomonadota; Gammaproteobacteria; Enterobacterales; Enterobacteriaceae.